RNAcentral lists this transfer RNA (77 nucleotides) under Candidatus Riesia sp. RNAcentral describes it as "tRNA-Gly". It matches the Rfam family "tRNA". From Rfam's summary of the family: Transfer RNA (tRNA) molecules are approximately 80 nucleotides in length. Their secondary structure includes four short double-helical elements and three loops (D, anti-codon, and T loops). The record is from RNAcentral. Lineage: Bacteria; Pseudomonadati; Pseudomonadota; Gammaproteobacteria; Enterobacterales; Enterobacteriaceae.
GCGGAUAUAGUGUUUAACGGUUAGCACAUGAUCCUUCCAAGUUCGUAGUACCGAUUCGAAUUCGGUUAUCCGCUCCA